RNAcentral lists this long non-coding RNA (6325 nucleotides) under Sus scrofa (pig). RNAcentral's name for it is "lncRNA (ENSSSCG00015020335.1)". The record is from RNAcentral. Lineage: Eukaryota; Metazoa; Chordata; Mammalia; Artiodactyla; Suidae.
CCAGGCUAGGGGUUGAAUCGGAGCUACAGGUGGUGGCCUACACCGAAGCCACAGCAACGCAGGAUCCGAGCCGCAUCUGUGACCUACGCCAUAGCUCACGGCAAUGCCGGAUCCUUAACCCACUGAGCGAGGCCAGGGAUCAAACCCGCAACCGCAUGGUUCCUAGCUGGAUUCGUUUCCGCUGCACCAUGACUGGAACUCCCAAGAGCUCGUUUUAAAAUCAAUGUAUUUGCCAAAUGCCUGGGAACACCUAAUAGCUGCCAAGCACUGUUCUUGGCACUGAGUAAAUAAGUGAAAACAGACAAACACCUCUCGCUCGUGGAGGAAACAUGAUAGUUGGGAGAAUCGCACAAUAGGUGUGAUAAGUAAACACGUGCUCUGCUAAAUUAUGACAGGGUUCUACAGGGGGAUGGAGGUACAGAAGGUGAUGGGGAGAGUCCAGGUGGGCUGUGAUUUUAGAUCACGAAAGCCUAACUCAGCAGGUGCUAUUUGGCUAAGGGCUAGAAGCCAGUGAGCUGUGCUUGAGGAGAGCAUUGUAGGAGAGCAGCCAAGUACAAGGGGCCGCAGUGGACACAGACAUCCAAGUUCCAGGAACUGCAGGAAGCCAGCCAGGCUGGGGGCGUGAGCAAGCAGGACAGUGGCCAAGGCGAGGGCGGACAUUAAUGGGGGGCAUUGCGUGCAGACCACACUACGCUUUUUCAGGCCAUUCUCCAUUGACCUGGGCUUCUACUCAGAGUGAGGUUCCCCGGGAGGGUCUGGCAGGAGGGACGCUUGGAUCUGGCUUAGGUUGGAGCAUCUCACUGACCGCAGUGGUAAGAGACGAAUUUGCAGAAGUGUGGACAUCAGGAGGCGGGCUUGGAAGCCACUGCGAACAUCCAGCUUAGAGACGGGGGUGGCUUGGCCAGGGUGGGAGCUGUGGAGGUGGUGACGGAGACCUUGUAACAGUUGCUGUGAAAUCCUUUUUAAGUGGGUCUUGGACCAAAACUGCAACCAGUCAAUUACUGAGCUGAGGGGCAAAGUCACAUCAGCCCGACUGAAGCAGUAGACAGCGUGCUGGAGUGUUUGUCUCUGAAACUUAUUAAGUCCAGUCCAAGAAAGGCGUGAUGCCAGGCACUGCAGAUGAAAAAGACGUGGGUAACUAUCUUCACCCCUCUGAGAGCUUAAAUCUAGUAAGAGGACAAAAUACCACAGCUAACCAGGGAGGCAGAAGGUGGCUCUAUGCCUUCUUCCAUGAAUAUUUACUGGCUGCAGGGCUAGGUGCUGGCGAUAGAGCCGUGAACAGAAAAGAGGAAUCCCUGCCAUGGGAGUUCCCGUCGUGGCUCAGGGGUAACGAACCCCACUAGCGUUCAGGACGAUGUAGGUAUGAUCCCUGGCCUCGCUCAGUGGGUUAAGAAUCCAGUGAUGCCGUGAGGUGUAGGUCGCAGAUGAGGCUUGGAUCUGGUAUUGCUGGGGCAGGGGUGUAGGCUGGCGGCCACAGCUCCGAUUUGACCCCGAGGCUGGGAACCUCCAUAUGCCGUGGGUGUGGCCCUCAAGAGACAAAAAAAGGAAAGAAGAGAAAAGAAAAUCCGUGCUGUCAUGGAGUUUAUAUUCUCGAAGAGUGAGACAAAAAAUGACCAAGAGAAAUGUGUAAAUUAUAUAGCAGAGUGAAAAGGAACAACAAAGGCCUCCAUGAAGGUCAAACCCACACCCACGCAACAUUGUAACAGGGAAAACUUAAGAACAAUGGGAGAGAAACUGGCUUUAUUAAGUGCUAUGUGCAGUCCACACAUUCGUUCGCAAUAGUGAAAAGAUACGUAAGUGGAGUAAUGAGCCAUGGAAACUAGUUGCACUUCAGGACGUGUUAGUGAAUCCGAAGAGCAAGAUGAUGAGUGAAACACCAAGAGCAAUUUUUACCAUCCACACACACACACACGUCCAUGUGCACCUACACACACAUGAAGCCACAACAUAUUUUAGAAAGAAACAGGGGAAGGGCUCCCCGCCUUCAGGGUCAAAAAGCUUCCUACGUGCUUCGCAUCAUCCGCUGCCAACCCUCAUGGAAGGCGGCUCCAUCCCCUCCCUUCCCAGCGGUGGGUCAGUCUGCAGAUCACUGUCCAGAGCUGUGUGGCGGUGUGGCCUCUGCAGGUGCACGGUCAGUCUCUGUGUGACAAGCCCCACCCUGACGACAGUGCUGACAAUGACCUACUUGCAUCUGUGUCUGGAAGAGCGAGACCCUUCGAGUGGACAGGUCGGCCCUGGGUGAGAAUAAGAUGCCUUCUGUUUCUUUCCUGUCUCCCCGGAAGACUCUGGGGGGGGAGGGUUUGGGGGGACUGGCCUCUUUCUCCCCAUCCUUGGUCACCAUCUCCUGGCCCAGUUCGUCCCCCCAUUCAGCCUCUCCAAGAUCAGUAAAGGUGAUAAACCACUCCUGCCAACCCGCGAGCAGAUAAGAUUCGUGUUUACAGACUCUCCCAUCCCCCUGAUGCGUGAGUUUCAUUUUAAAAAGGGGUUUAGGAGACACAAGCAUUGCAGGAGAUUCUUAUACAAGAAAACGAGUGCAACCCGUAAGCCGCUGCCCAUAAAUUCAGUUAUUCAAGUGAUUACUACGAACUCUGCCACCUUCUCCACUGUACACAGACUAAAUGUUAUUGUUAGUCUGAACCUUCUCACCUCCUCCACGGAGUGCAGAUCGGGAAAUGCUAUGAAUAGUCCUCUCUCCCCCAGCCCCACGCCUUCUGCCACUGGGAAGAUGCUUGCAGGAAGUGCGCUAGGCUUCGAAGGCCAAGGAAUUUUAAUCUUCCCUGUGUCUCGUACUGUUUCACCUUCUUUCUCCUCUUUUCGAAGCACGUUUAUAAGCUGACAAAAGGCUCCGACGUGUUUUGUGUCAUUUAACAUUCACGGUGAGCCUUGGGGACCGUCUUCAGGGCAUCGGCCACGCUCUUCCCUUCGUAGACGAGAAAACUGGGGCUCGGAAGCAGGAAGCCACUUCGCCAAGGUGUCACACCACAAGGAUGUGAUCUAAGCUGUCUUGUGCCAGAUUCCCUGUCCACGCAUCACAACCCAGGUGUGGCCACACAGACCUGCCCUGCUGCAGCCUCACGCAGAGGAGUGGAGUGUCUUCCCCUCUUUCUGCCCAAGGGCACAGAGGGUGCGGGUUGAUCCGUGGGGUGCAGAGGAAGGAACUGGGGGGAGGGCGGCGAGGCUCGUGACUGUCCACACCUGUGUGCGGGGACACCCCGGGAGCCCUCUGUGCUGCACCUGGGCCUCCGGAGUCGGCACGUCCUUGAGCUUCUUCAUGCCUGUGUCUCCCUCUGCACCUGCGACUGUUUCUGCAUCCUUCUUUCCAGUUAUCAAAGAGAAUGUCCUUUCCUGCCUCGGGGUCUUGCCGCAUCCCAGUCUCUCUGUAAGGGCCUCUCUUCCUUAGGGUCUGAUGAUCUCAGCUCAAACGGAACUCACUCAAGCAAGCUGCUGUAGGUUGGGGGUUGGGCUCCCUAAUAAGGAGACAGUCAAGUCCCUAAGACUGGAACCUACGAAUGUGACCGUAUUUAGGAAGGUCACUGCAGAUGCAAUCGAGGGACGAUGAGGUCACACAGGGUCAGGGUGAGCCCUUAUCCAAGGAUGGGUGUCCUCGGACAAAAAGGACAAUGUAUACACAAACACACACAGCGGAAAGGACGCCCGGAUGAUGGGAGCAGAGACGAGAGUGACAGGUCGACAAGCUAAAGGCAGACCCAGGACUGGCAGCAGCCACAGGAGCGAGAGAGAGGCACCAAGAGGUCUCCUCAGAGCCUCCAGAGGAGCCAACUCUGCUGAUAACUGGAUUUCAGAUGUCCAGCCUCCAGAACUGAAAGACAACAUGUUAUGUUUCUGUCCCUUUUUCCACCAGGUUUGUGGUCACUACGACCGCCCUAGGAAGCCCAAACAGAAGAUUUUCUGGCUUUUCCAGAACAAGCCAGGUCAUUCAAGUGCAUCUCUUCGUAGCAUCAGCUAUUUUUUUCUAAAGAGCAUUAUACUGCGGCUUACGGUUAUAUAUUUGAUUUUUUUUUUCUUGGUCUUUUUGCCUUUUCUAGGGCUGCUCUCAUGGCAUAUGGAGGUUCCCAGGCCGGGGGUCGAAUCGGAGCUGUAGCUGCCGACCUACACCAGAGCCACAGCAACGCGGGAUCCGAGCUGCGUCUGCGACCUACACCACAGCUCAUGGUAACGCUGGAUCCCCAACCCACUGAGCAAGGCCAGGGACCGAACCCGCAACCUCAUGGUUCCUGGUCGGGUUCGUUAACCACUGAGACACGACGGGAACGCCUAUAUUUGUUUGAUUUUUUUGAUCAGUAUUUAUCCCUGCACAAAAAUGGGAGCCCUGUGAAAAUGGAGAAUGUUAGGUUUUGCUCACUCUAGAGAGUGAAAAAACCCACAGGGACUAGCAUAAAACAGUAUAGAAUGCAAUGAAUGGUCCCUAAACGAACGAAAGAGUGAGUGAAUGAAUGAACAGACCGACAACUGGCAGGAAGGGAGAAUGGCACUUGGGAUUCUGGCCGGGGAGGAUGCGGAAAGCAUCCACCUGAAACCAAAACGAGGUCUGUGUCUCUUUCCCGAACUGUGCCUCUCGACUCUCUCCAUCCCUGUCGCUCUGACUUCUUGCUUCUGUCAAGUUAGCUUCAGAACAUUUGUCUGUUGAAGUGUCUGUGGGGACUGAUAAGACUGAUAAACCCACUCAUGAGAGCGGGGAAAACUGUCAACCCCGACGCCGAUGAUAAAUACUGUAAAACUGGGAACAACGGAAAACAAAUGAUUUCUCUCCAUAAGUGAAAGGGGCUGCUUUUCUCACUCUUCAUAAAACGGCGCAAUAAUAAUUAUUUGUAUCAUCAAUUUUGUCUAUAAUCCAAAAUGAUAGACAAUUUUUAUUUAGUGGGAACAGAAGUCACAUAUAUUUUUUCCUAUCUUUAGUGUUAGCUAUUUAGGAGCAUAAUCACAUACUCAUUUAUCUUAAAAAGUACAGAAAAAUGAUGCUGCUUAACGGUGAAGGGCAAGAACCCUGGAGCCAGACCCCGGCCUUAAAGAUGAGCUGCAACACUCAGGGUGUGAGCUGGCAUAUAUUACUUAAGCCUUUUUUGCCCAGCUCUUUUUUUUGGGGGGAGCGGGGGGCACGUGAGGCAUGCAGAAGUUCCAGCAACCUGAGCCAUAGCAGUGACAAUGCCAGAUCCUUAACCCACAGAGCUACCAGGGAACUCCUCUCUGCCCAGCUUUUAAUUUCACAGCAUUGUUGUACGGAUGCAAUAAGCUAAGAUAUGAAAAUAUAUAGCAAAAUAACUGGCAACUGGUAAAACUCAAUACAUUUUAGGAUUAUUAUUACUAUUAGACAUCUGGCAUUUGAUGAGACCAUGGUAAGCUGUCCUUGAGAUAAUCUCAUUUAUUUAUGUCACAGCUACAAAUUACAAAUCAUUUUCCUCGUUCAUCUUUCAGAAUGAAAAAGCACUGAACAAAAUAAACUGAAUGACGUGUGGGGUGAGGGAGGACAGAGGGAUUUUGCAAACACAUUUCUUUGUAAUAGAAAUUGCUGAAAGCUUAAUUAAUCUUUUUAUUUUGGCAAAUAGGGGGCAUAAGAUGUCAAAAAAUGGAAUUAAAAUUACUAUGCCCUAUUUCCAUCCUUUUCAAGCCAUUAAUGUAUUCUAUGGUAAUUAAGUUCAAAUUUUUCCACUCUAGUCUUAGUCCUGUCAAGUCAGAAUUUCAAAGGAUUGUUAAAAGUGCAGAUUAACCAAAUCAUGUAUAUGGUUUAAAGACUCAGAAUGACAAACACUAUGGGGGCUGAACUUCUGAUCACACAAACCAGAUUUCAGUAGAAAAAUCAAACCCAUUAAACAUAUCUGUGGUAUUUGUUCCUUCUCAAAGAAAUCCUUUUGACAACAUUUUCCAUGUUUUAUCUGCUCGAGAAUUUUGUGGCCAAUUAAUUAAUAUAUUUAAACUGAUGAUCAGAACAGCCACAAGAGAACUUACCUCUUCUCUUGGAGUCAAAUAGGAUUGCUCCCAUUCAACCUCAGAUUUAAUGUUGACUUGUCUGCUGGCAGUUGCUACUACUUACACUGGGAAGACACUGAAGUUAAAAAAAAAUUCUUUGGGAGUUCCUGUCGUGGCGCAGUGGUUAACGAAUCGGACUAGGAACCAUGAGGUUGUGGGUUCGAUCCCUGCCCUUGCUUAGUGGGUUAAGGAUCCGGUGUUGCCGUGAGCUGUGGUGUAGGUUGAAGACGAAGCUCGGAUCCUGAGUUGCUGUGGCUCUGGCGUAGGCUGGUGGCUACAGCUCCGUUUAGACCCCUAGCCUGGAAGCAGCCCUAGAAAAAGGCAAAAAAAAAAAAAAAAA